This 80-nucleotide transfer RNA is filed under the name Balamuthia mandrillaris. RNAcentral describes it as "tRNA-Leu". It matches the Rfam family "tRNA". Rfam says of the family: Transfer RNA (tRNA) molecules are approximately 80 nucleotides in length. Their secondary structure includes four short double-helical elements and three loops (D, anti-codon, and T loops). The record is from RNAcentral. Lineage: Eukaryota; Discosea; Longamoebia; Balamuthiidae.
AGUGGUAUGCUGGAAUGGCAGACAGGAUUGUUUUAGAAGCAGUUGGUAUUACCGUAUGGGUUCAAGUCCCAUUGCCGCUA